This is a small nucleolar RNA of Neomonachus schauinslandi (Hawaiian monk seal), 126 nucleotides long. RefSeq annotates it as small nucleolar RNA SNORA5. NCBI's taxonomy places the organism in Eukaryota, Metazoa, Chordata, Mammalia, Carnivora, Phocidae. The transcript has a single exon. The record is from RefSeq and is a predicted model, not a curated record.
CACAGUCGAGUCAAACCGAGCCCCCGUCCCCAUCAUGGCAGGAACUGGCCAAACGGCCACAGCAAGGCCUGCAGCUCAUGGUCCCUGGGCCCUGGGACCUGGGGAUAAGUUCAGCUGCAGAAAAGG